UUUCCAUUUACAGAUGAAGACCUGCAGUUCCCACUGGCUGCUGGAUUCCCCAGACCCCAUCAUUUCCAUUUACAGAUGAAGAGACAGACAGAGGAAGCCACUCAUUGAUGCAUGCAGUGAGUCCUCAUGGAGCUGCCAGAGACCUGCUGACGGGGUAGAUGGCUGACUCCAGAACUGAACAGAGUUUGCAUCCCAGCUACAGAGGGUGGACAAGAGAGCCCGGCUCCUCACGCAUCUUAUGGAGCAUGGACAGCAUGGAGGCGUGGCACCGACCAGACCUGAGUCUUGAGCCCAGUUCUGGCACCAGCUGUGGGAGUGGGAUGCUCGCCUUGCUUUCCUGGGGCUCUGUUUCCUCCCUUCUACAACAGGGUAACAGUUCCCACCGAGGCAGCAGGUGAAGAUGACCUGAGAUGCCCCCUGCAAGGCCUUCCCGGUGCCCCCCAGGGUCAGGGCUGGCUGGGGUGCGUGCCACUGCAGCGUGUGAGAAACAAACUUACCCGUUUAAACCCGACGAAUGGACUUAGAGACCCGGAGAACAGCGAAAGUGAGACUCUUAAUGAUGGUUUUGCAAAUCAGGUGUCUGAUGGGCAGGCACACCUGGCAUGGUUUCAACAAGCAAUUUAUCCCCCAGUGCACAGGUGCCUCCCCCAGCUCCUCAAAGGCUGAGUACUAUGGGUUACAAUUUUUCUGGACGUUGCCUAUUGGUUGUUGGGUUGGGGCUUUACGUGUUUUUUUAAGGAUUGUUUCGCUGUGUUUUGCUGCAGUCCACAA
This is a long non-coding RNA of Pan troglodytes (chimpanzee), 771 nucleotides long. RefSeq lists it as uncharacterized. The record is from RefSeq and is a predicted model, not a curated record. Lineage: Eukaryota; Metazoa; Chordata; Mammalia; Primates; Hominidae. The transcript is spliced from 2 exons.